This 233-nucleotide unclassified non-coding RNA is filed under the name Melitaea cinxia (Glanville fritillary). Its description in RNAcentral is "misc RNA ENSMCXG00005020695.1". The record is from RNAcentral. Lineage: Eukaryota; Metazoa; Arthropoda; Insecta; Lepidoptera; Nymphalidae.
CUCAUCUUGAAAUGUAUGAUGUAGAUAAAAGCUUAACAUCUGUACCAUACAACGCGUUAUCUCUCCUAUCGAAUCUCGAGAUUUUCUCCAUGAAGAAAGCAUUCAUAGAACUGACGUCAGAAAGUAAUUACGUUCUGUCAAAACUGACAAUUGUAACGCUAGAUGAAUGUAGAAUCAAAAGUGUACCGAAAGGCGCGUUCAAGGCUACCCCCGAAAUAACACAUUUGAGUCUG